This 2121-nucleotide long non-coding RNA is filed under the name Homo sapiens (human). RNAcentral's name for it is "non-protein coding lnc-ADAMTS15-1:2". Lineage: Eukaryota; Metazoa; Chordata; Mammalia; Primates; Hominidae. The record is from RNAcentral.
CCCUAUCUCGGGCCGCCGCGCCUAGGCCCGUGAGCAGCCUGUGGUGGGGCAUGGCGGCACAGCCACCGGCGUGCCCGCGAGGCCUCGGGACCCAGACCAGGAUUUCCAUCAGCUCCCCUGGCUCGCAGGCCUUCUGACUUCUGACUCACCAUCAGCUCUCCUGGAUCCAGCUUGCCAAUGGCAGAUCGUGGGACUCCUUGCCCUCUAAUCGCAUGAAACAAUGCCCACAGGGCAGGUCUCACUAUGUUGCCCAUUCUGGUCUUGAACUCUUGGACUCAAGCAAUCCUCCCACCUCGGACUUCCAAAGUGCUGGAAUCACAGGCUUGAGAUACCAUGCCCAGCCAAUUUAUUGUGAUGGUGAGCUCCUUAGAGGGAAGUAUAGUACAUAUUUCCUCCAUGUCUCCAGUACCCAACACAGUGCCUGACGUUGAGAGGGCUCUUAAUAAGUGUUUGUGAAAGACUGGUAGAGCAAUGCCCUAUGAAACAAGAAGCUGGAUAACACUGCUUAGGACUCAGAGGAGAGAGGAGUGUGGUCUACACUGCACAUCUCUGCCAAGCCUGGCACGGGAUUUGAAGUUCCACACCACUGAGCCAAACACAUCCAGACCCUCUUCCAACGAUCUGAGAAACAGGAAGUUGUGUUUGGCUGCGGACAAACUCUCUCAGUGCCCCUGGGACUUACAAGAUGUUUGGAAUGAGGAACGGCAGCUCUCCCAAUGCGAGCUCAGCGGAGGCCCCCAGAAAAACGUGGGGAGGAGAGUUUUCCCCAUAAGACAGACUGUCCUUCAGCCCCGGCCACCAAAGAGGAGUAACCCGGGCCUGCUGUUCUCUGGGACUGAAUGCGGCUGCAUCCUUCCCUUCCUCUGCUUCCUGUCCCGGUACUUACUGACGGUGCACAUGCGGGGCUUGGGGAAGCUGAGUGUCUAACCGCGGUGCAGCUACGGAUGGGAAAUUCUGGGCAGGGACGAGCCUGUCUUCACCUGAGGAAUUCCCUCCCACAUCACACAGGGCAGAGUGGGAGUGGAGGAGGGCAGAGGACACGUCUCAGGGCCAGUAACCUAGGCUUAUAGAAGACGUCAUCACCGUCCUCAUGAUGUUCACCCCGUCUCCUGUUUUUUGGGGCCAUGUGUUCCGAAAUGUAGCUUCAACUCAUCAUAGGGGCAAAAAGAAGUGAUGAGUCUGUGGCAGCAGAAAUCUGGGAAUCCAAGGGUCGUGCUACAUUUUUCGAGAAACCAUUUUGAAUUCCCAAACAGCAAAGGAAAUGCUGCAGGUUCCUGGAGGGACCUGGUGAUCUGGGGCAGAGCACACGGAGUCGAGAUUGCUGCGGGGUUCACGAGCCUCCCCUCCUGGGACCAGGGGCACCUGGGCAGGGUAGUCUGCACCACGCAGGAAAGCCCAGUACACGCAGCUGCUCAACGCUGCAGACGCCAUAGCGCAGGGCUGACAAGGCCUCCCUCUUUAUCUGCCCUGGACCACAAGUGGAAAAUAUCAAGACAAAGCAAAAGCCAGUAUCCCUUAAGAACUUUCCAAUUGUUCUUGUCAUUUGUAGUUUUGUUUUUUGGGGGGUGUGGGGAGGGAGGGGUGGUUUGAAACAACUCCGGAGCACACUCCAGAGGAAAACAGGAAGGGUGACAUGUUUGGACACCAGAAAAGAGGAAGAGUCCUCACUAAGAGGGUGACUUGGUUAAAAAGUUCAAGCACAAAGGAUGUAGAAGCAGGUGGAUGUCAUCAGAGAACAGAUGCGGAUCUAGUGAGAUGGGUCCUACCACCCCUGGAAUAUGUUCCUGGGAGAGGGGUGGUCUGCUAGAGUGGACUGGGAAUAGUAAUAUUGCAUACUUUUGUAAAUUCACAAAACCCUCUGAUCUGUGAUAGAGGAAUAAAGGGCAGAGGAUAAACCCCAGAUAAAGAUUCACUUAUCUUAAAAAUGAAAGGUUGGAAAUUAACUUUAUGCUACUGUACCACCUUCGAAGUAUUUCUGGCAGGUGCCUGGAGGAUUCAGAUUAAUGACCAAAUUACCUGCCAAGUCAGGGCCUCCCAUUAGAAGAGAGUACCAGUUUCCAUUAGGAGCACUAGCUGGAAAACACAAUCUUUCAGCAGAGGAAAUACAGUCUUCUCUCCUUC